AGCAGCCGCGGUAAUUCCAGCUCCAAUAGCGUAUAUUAAAGUUGUUGCAGUUAAAAAGCUCGUAGUUGAAUUUCGGGGUUAGCAGGUCGGUCGUGCCAUUGGUAUGAACUGGUCUCGCUGAUCCCUCCCUCUUGACGAACUGUGAUGCCAUUAAUUUGGUGUCGCAGGGAAUCAGGACUGUUACUUUGAAAAAAAUUAGAGUGUUUAAAGCAGGCUCACGCUUGAAUACAUUAGCAUGGAAUAAUGAAAUAGGACGUUUGAUCCUAUUUUGUUGGCUUCUAGGAUUGACGUAAUGAUUAAUAGGGAUAGUUGGGGGCAUUAGUAUUCAAUUGUCAGAGGUGAAAUUCUUGGAUUUAUUGAAGACUAACUACUGCAAAAAGCAUUUGCCAAGGAUGUUUUCAUUAAAUCAAGAACGAAAGUUAGGGGAUCGAAGACGAUCAGAUACCGUCGUAGUCUUAACCAUAAACUAUGCCGACUAGGGAUCGGAUGAUGUUAAUUUUUUUAAUGACUCAUUCGGCGC
Molecule: ribosomal RNA, 520 nt
Filed under: uncultured Glomus
Lineage: Eukaryota; Fungi; Glomeromycota; Glomeromycetes; Glomerales; Glomeraceae
Description: SSU rRNA
Rfam family: Eukaryotic small subunit ribosomal RNA
Source: RNAcentral